This 2985-nucleotide ribosomal RNA is filed under the name Salmonella enterica subsp. enterica serovar Thompson. RNAcentral's name for it is "bacterial LSU rRNA". It matches the Rfam family "Bacterial large subunit ribosomal RNA". RNAcentral also lists the same sequence under 1 other name. The record is from RNAcentral. Lineage: Bacteria; Pseudomonadati; Pseudomonadota; Gammaproteobacteria; Enterobacterales; Enterobacteriaceae.
UUAAGCGACUAAGCGUACACGGUGGAUGCCCUGGCAGUCAGAGGCGAUGAAGGGCGUGCUAAUCUGCGAUAAGCGCCGGUAAGGUGAUAUGAACCGUUAUAACCGGCGAUACCCGAAUGGGGAAACCCAGUGUGACUCGUCACACUAUCAUUAACUGAAUCCAUAGGUUAAUGAGGCGAACCGGGGGAACUGAAACAUCUAAGUACCCCGAGGAAAAGAAAUCAACCGAGAUUCCCCCAGUAGCGGCGAGCGAACGGGGAGGAGCCCAGAGCCUGAAUCAGCAUGUGUGUUAGUGGAAGCGUCUGGAAAGGCGCGCGAUACAGGGUGACAGCCCCGUACACAAAAGCGCAUGUGCUGUGAGCUCGAUGAGUAGGGCGGGACACGUGGUAUCCUGUCUGAAUAUGGGGGGACCAUCCUCCAAGGCUAAAUACUCCUGACUGACCGAUAGUGAACCAGUACCGUGAGGGAAAGGCGAAAAGAACCCCGGCGAGGGGAGUGAAAAAGAACCUGAAACCGUGUACGUACAAGCAGUGGGAGCACCCUUUGGGGUGUGACUGCGUACCUUUUGUAUAAUGGGUCAGCGACUUAUAUUCUGUAGCAAGGUUAACCGAAUAGGGGAGCCGGAGGGAAACCGAGUCUUAAUUGGGCGUUAAGUUGCAGGGUAUAGACCCGAAACCCGGUGAUCUAGCCAUGGGCAGGUUGAAGGUUGGGUAACACUAACUGGAGGACCGAACCGACUAAUGUUGAAAAAUUAGCGGAUGACCUGUGGCUGGGGGUGAAAGGCCAAUCAAACCGGGAGAUAGCUGGUUCUCCCCGAAAGCUAUUUAGGUAGCGCCUCGUGAAUUCAUCUCCGGGGGUAGAGCACUGUUUCGGCUAGGGGGCCAUCCCGGCUUACCAACCCGAUGCAAACUGCGAAUACCGGAGAAUGUUAUCACGGGAGACACACGGCGGGUGCUAACGUCCGUCGUGAAGAGGGAAACAACCCAGACCGCCAGCUAAGGUCCCAAAGUCAUGGUUAAGUGGGAAACGAUGUGGGAAGGCCCAGACAGCCAGGAUGUUGGCUUAGAAGCAGCCAUCAUUUAAAGAAAGCGUAAUAGCUCACUGGUCGAGUCGGCCUGCGCGGAAGAUGUAACGGGGCUAAACCAUGCACCGAAGCUGCGGCAGCGAACGUAUCACUUAAAGCGAUUCAGCGGGUUACGAUUGACGGAGCGAAGCGACGUCAAAGCGUAUACAAAGUCGAGUCGGUUUAAGGAUACGUUCGUUGGGUAGGGGAGCGUUCUGUAAGCCUGUGAAGGUGGCCUGUGAGGGUUGCUGGAGGUAUCAGAAGUGCGAAUGCUGACAUAAGUAACGAUAAAGCGGGUGAAAAGCCCGCUCGCCGGAAGACCAAGGGUUCCUGUCCAACGUUAAUCGGGGCAGGGUGAGUCGACCCCUAAGGCGAGGCCGAAAGGCGUAGUCGAUGGGAAACAGGUUAAUAUUCCCGUACUUGGUGUUACUGCGAAGGGGGGACGGAGAAGGCUAUGUUGGCCGGGCGACGGUUGUCCCGGUUUAAGCGUGUAGGUGUGUGUUCCAGGUAAAUCCGGUUCACUUUAACACUGAGGCGUGAUGACGAGGCACUACGGUGCUGAAGCAACAAAUGCCCUGCUUCCAGGAAAAGCCUCUAAGCAUCAGGUAACAUCAAAUCGUACCCCAAACCGACACAGGUGGUCAGGUAGAGAAUACCAAGGCGCUUGAGAGAACUCGGGUGAAGGAACUAGGCAAAAUGGUGCCGUAACUUCGGGAGAAGGCACGCUGACACGUAGGUGAAGUGAUUUACUCAUGGAGCUGAAGUCAGUCGAAGAUACCAGCUGGCUGCAACUGUUUAUUAAAAACACAGCACUGUGCAAACACGAAAGUGGACGUAUACGGUGUGACGCCUGCCCGGUGCCGGAAGGUUAAUUGAUGGGGUCAGCGCAAGCGAAGCUCCUGAUCGAAGCCCCGGUAAACGGCGGCCGUAACUAUAACGGUCCUAAGGUAGCGAAAUUCCUUGUCGGGUAAGUUCCGACCUGCACGAAUGGCGUAAUGAUGGCCAGGCUGUCUCCACCCGAGACUCAGUGAAAUUGAACUCGCUGUGAAGAUGCAGUGUACCCGCGGCAAGACGGAAAGACCCCGUGAACCUUUACUAUAGCUUGACACUGAACAUUGAGCCUUGAUGUGUAGGAUAGGUGGGAGGCUUUGAAGUGUGGACGCCAGUCUGCAUGGAGCCGACCUUGAAAUACCACCCUUUAAUGUUUGAUGUUCUAACGUGGACCCGUAAUCCGGGUUGCGGACAGUGUCUGGUGGGUAGUUUGACUGGGGCGGUCUCCUCCUAAAGAGUAACGGAGGAGCACGAAGGUUGGCUAAUCCUGGUCGGACAUCAGGAGGUUAGUGCAAUGGCAUAAGCCAGCUUGACUGCGAGCGUGACGGCGCGAGCAGGUGCGAAAGCAGGUCAUAGUGAUCCGGUGGUUCUGAAUGGAAGGGCCAUCGCUCAACGGAUAAAAGGUACUCCGGGGAUAACAGGCUGAUACCGCCCAAGAGUUCAUAUCGACGGCGGUGUUUGGCACCUCGAUGUCGGCUCAUCACAUCCUGGGGCUGAAGUAGGUCCCAAGGGUAUGGCUGUUCGCCAUUUAAAGUGGUACGCGAGCUGGGUUUAGAACGUCGUGAGACAGUUCGGUCCCUAUCUGCCGUGGGCGCUGGAGAACUGAGGGGGGCUGCUCCUAGUACGAGAGGACCGGAGUGGACGCAUCACUGGUGUUCGGGUUGUCAUGCCAAUGGCACUGCCCGGUAGCUAAAUGCGGAAGAGAUAAGUGCUGAAAGCAUCUAAGCACGAAACUUGCCCCGAGAUGAGUUCUCCCUGAGACUUAGAGUCUCCUGAAGGAACGUUGAAGACGACGACGUUGAUAGGCCGGGUGUGUAAGCGCAGCGAUGCGUUGAGCUAACCGGUACUAAUGAACCGUGAGGCUUAACCUU